Vulpes vulpes (red fox) is the source of this 2158-nucleotide long non-coding RNA. NCBI's taxonomy places the organism in Eukaryota, Metazoa, Chordata, Mammalia, Carnivora, Canidae. The record is from Ensembl.
AUGGUAAGUGAGUGGUGCUUUCCCAGGACUGGUGUUUCUUGGACACCUCAACUCUCAGCACCGACCAGGGACCCUUCUGCAUCUGAGGUGGCACCGAUUCACAUUUAUAUCUCCACCCCCCAAGGUAUGAGAGUCCUAUCCCUCCUCAUCCUCAUAGCGUAAGCAAACGUGUAAGUGACCCGCAAUCCGAGCAGUGAAAGGUAGUAUGGCGUUUUUAAAAUUUUUAUUUGAAUCCCAUUAAUUACAAAUACUGUUAAGCAAAUCUUUGCACGUGUUCAGAGGACGUGCGUAUUUCCUUCAUCUGAAAAUGUCCCGUGGCUCUCUGCCUGGUUUUCUUUUUGGUUGUUCAUCUUUUACUUUCGGCUUGGACACACUUAUAAAUUAAAGGGGCAGCCGAUCAUAUAUAGUGAAAAACAUUUACUUCUCUUUCAUUUAUGUUUUGUGGUUCUUUCUGACUUUUUUAGUUUUGGGGAAAAAAAAAAGUCCAUUUCUAUGCAGUUAAAAUACAAAGACUCUCCUUCACGGCAUCUCCUUGGCGUGCUUGUCAAAAAAAAAACCCAGGACUUUGUAUGUGUUUGGGUCCAUUCUGGACGCCCUAGACUGUUCCGAGGACAUCUCUGUUUGAACAGAACUCUGUCCUCAUUGGUGUCGCUCUGGGGGCAGAAUGAGGCCAUGGCUGCUCCCCUGCGGGGCUCCUGGAGAGUCCGCUCCUUCUCAGGGUUCCCUGGCCUUUGUGCCCGGUGUCUUCAAAAUUGUUUUCAUUUUUUUUACUCUUUGUGGCUACAGGUUUAGGUGAGAGGUUCAUCUGGCACCUUCACUCGAUCCCGGUCAGAAGCGAACAUCUGCUCCGUGUCUGACCCUGAAGUUUGAAGAUGAUUUGACAACAUGUAGGAUGAGCAGGGACUUGCACGCGGCCCACGCACACGUCCACCUCCAGCAGGAUGGGGACGACCCAGCAGAGAACCUCACUGCCGCUCGGGGAAGACGGCCAGCAGCUAGGCCCCAGCCCCACAUGUGCUGCCGCAGAGCCAGUGUAGACCUGAUUGAAACGACAUCUUCACCAGCAGCCUCGACGGAGGGAUUCGGAGGAGCACGCGUCCUGACGGCCCCCAGGAAUGGCGAGGUCGUCCCGCAGCGGGACCCUCCUCAGCUGCCAGGAUGGCUGAGACUCGGCUUUGCGCAACAGGGCUUCAGUUUCCUUUUUUUCCCUGAAAACUGGUCAUCAUUCCAGCUGUCUCUCCACCGGUUCGGGUUUUUCAGGGAUCCUCUGGGAUCCGUCGCUGUGGGAUCUGACUGUAGCCCCAGCACCAGGCCGCAGCAUGGGACAGAGCGACGUCCCUUCGCCCUUGGUGCGGACAUUCUUCACGCCAGGAGCUUCUCAGCUGAUAAGCCUCCGUCAGCAUCUCCGCGGAGAGCACUGCGUGCUUGCCGAAACCACAGCGUGCAGGCGGCCCCGAUGUGUCCGCGCCCGAGCGUCCUGCACAGGCCGGCAGCCCGCGCCACCCUCCCCACCCCGGGACAGGCGGCCGGUGCAUUGAGCUGACCGGUCACAUACACUCGGGGCCUUAGACCCCUGAAAGGCAGGUGAAUUCGCGUUAGCAGGGGGCCGCAGUCCGCCAGGCAGCCCUGGGCCAGUCGAUGCACCUCGCGGGCCCCGUGGCCUGAUCCAUCGGGCAGAGUGCAUGAGGGUCUGGUCCGUCCUUUCGUGCUCCGGGGCCGGGCCCGGCUCACCCGGGUGCAAACGAGAACCACAAGUGAACCGUCUCGAACGUGUGGAUGUCGUCCUAGGACCAACACGCAUCCUUGGGUAGAGAAUAAUCAUAAUCUUCAGUGAACAAGAAAACUACCUAAAAUGAUAACAAAUGCGAGCAAAUCCCCUUGAUUACAAAAUACAGAUACGAUUCAGACGCGGUUUUCUCUGGCUGCAAAAUGAUAUGUUAUUAAGGUCUCGGCGUAACAGCAGAGAUUUUUCAUCAUCGACUGUGUGCGUUUUGGAGGGACGCUCUGUGCCACGGACGUCUCCUCGCCGGCUGCCCAAGGAGCUGAACUGGAAGAUAUUUAAUACGGAACUAUAAUAGAAUUCAGUGCUCAUUAUUCAAGUGCAGGCACGGGUUCUGGCCCACGGUAAUUAUUAAAAUCAUGUUUAUGCCAAGUAAUG